RNAcentral lists this non-coding RNA (113 nucleotides) under Bacillus manliponensis. RNAcentral's name for it is "SAM-I sequence". It matches the Rfam family "SAM riboswitch aptamer (S box leader)". Rfam says of the family: The SAM riboswitch is found upstream of a number of genes which code for proteins involved in methionine or cysteine biosynthesis in Gram-positive bacteria. The SAM riboswitch acts at the level of transcription termination control. The record is from Rfam by way of RNAcentral. Lineage: Bacteria; Bacillati; Bacillota; Bacilli; Caryophanales; Bacillaceae.
UUCUUAUCUAGAGAGGUCUAGGGACUGGCCCGUUGACGCCUCAGCAACCAUUAACAUUUUUGUUAAUAAGGUGCUAAUUCCAGCAAACUGAGAAAUGAUUUGAAAGAUAAGAA